Non-coding RNA from Massospora cicadina, 73 nucleotides. Lineage: Eukaryota; Fungi; Entomophthoromycota; Entomophthoromycetes; Entomophthorales; Entomophthoraceae. The record is from the annotation of a GenBank genome assembly.
GCUUCGUUAGCUCAGUCGGUAGAGCAUGAGACUUUUAAUCUCAGGGUCACGGGUUCGAGCCCCGUACGAAGCU